AUGUUAAUUAUUGUGGUCUGGAAUUAUCUCCUUCUCCUCAGGACCUUGAGAGACAACAUCUGCUUCGGCUGCUGGUGAUUUUGCAGUGUUAAUCACUGGGCACUGGAAUUAACUCCACCUCAUCUCAACUAUGGGAUCUCUCCUUGGGAUCACCACUGCAAGAGUAAAGCAGUCACUCACAGUCACUCAAACUCCUUUCUUCAGUGUUGAAAAGCACUCAAGGCAGCUAGCCUGCUGGGUGGGGUGUUCCUCCAAUAUCCACUCCACUCCCAUGACCAUGAGUGUGAUGGUCAUAAUAACGAGGGAGGAGAGUUUAACCCUGCAGCAGUCAAAAGCUAAGGACUGUGACUGCAUGAAGAGAACUGCAGCUGGCCUAGCGACUCCACCUUCCCCUGAAGGGUAUCAACAGGUUGGCCCCAGAGGCUGUCUCUGGCUCUCUGUCGGUGACAGCAAGUCUGUCAACUUGCAGAACCCCUCCAGACUAGGACACCCUCCCGCAGACACUUCCCUGGGAUUAAGUGUACUUGGGCCGCUGAGGAAAGACCAGGGGAAUGUCAGGAGCAGAGAUCUGCAACUCCCACAGUACACCUCGCUCAAGCACAUAGGAUCUCUCAAGUUUCUUCUACUACACAUGUAAAAAAGGCAAGCACACUGAGCCCUGUGACAAGGGCUGCACCUGGAGCAUGUAAUUCAGCACUGAGGGAGGAGCUGUGCUAGGCAACACUUGUGGAAUUUUAUUUGAUGGAAUCACUCCUAAUAAAAGUUCAGGUGUGACACA
RNAcentral lists this long non-coding RNA (778 nucleotides) under Struthio camelus australis. RNAcentral's name for it is "lncRNA (ENSSCUG00000010219.1)". The record is from RNAcentral. Lineage: Eukaryota; Metazoa; Chordata; Aves; Struthioniformes; Struthionidae.